GCGGGGCCCGGGGAGAGCGGGGCCCGGGGAGAGCGGGGAGCGGGGCCCGGGGAGCGAUAAUCCUGCGAGCCGUGGGCAGGGCCGCCGCAGGAGUCCGGGUUGGAACGGGCCCGACCCCCAGAAUGAGGUGCAGGCGGGGCUGGGAAUGUCGGUGUGGAGGGCGCAGGGCUGGAGCGAGAUUGUGUCCGGUUCUGGGAUCGCCAGAGACAGGGAGCUCCUGGAGCGGGUCUAGAUAAGGGCAGCGAAAAUGAUGAAGGGACUGGAUCGUCUCUGUCACGACAAUAUGCUGAGAGCUGGGCCUGUUCACCCUCGGGAAGAGGUGACUGAGAGGGGAGCUCUUCAAUGUGUGUAAAUAUCUAAAGAGAGCAUAAGGAAGAACUUCUUUAUUGUGCAGGUAACUGUGGAACAGAUAGUCCAGAGAGGAUUGUGGAUUCCCCCUGACCGGAGAUAGUCAAGAACCAUCUGCAUGCAGUCCUGAGCCGUGUGCCCUAGGACAGCCCUGCUUGAGCAGGGAGGUUGGACUGCACAACCCACUGUGCUCCCUCCCAGCAUGACCCAUCCUGUGAUUCUGUGAGAGCUCUGCUGGGCUUUUGCACCCCCAGGGCUCUGCCCAAGAGCUGUGAUUGCACAGGGCAGGGGAAGGGAGGCAGAAAAAAAAAAGGCUCUUGUGGAUAAAAUAGGUUUGGUUUAUAGGAAAGGGUGAAGUAGGAGCUAAAAUUAUCAACAGAAGAACUUUAUUGGGAGUAGAGGAGAUGAGCAAUCAACCAGCAAUGAUUUUUAGGCUCAAUGAUAGAUAAGGAGCACUGAAGGAUGUGAGUGAUGGCAACAGCCAGGAGCCUUCAGCAUGAUAAACCCCAAGGUGUAAACAAAACCAGUAGCUGUGGAGACCUGAAUCUCAACUGCUUGUACAAAAACUCUUGGUAUUAGGAUGUGAUUAAAGAAACCAAAGCAGUGCUUUAACGUACAAGAGAGAGAAUGAGAUAAGAGAGAAAUAUCCCUUCCUUGGACCCCUCCUAGCUCCCACCUCUAGAAACCCAAUGCUCCUCUGCUGCUUACAGGUGCAGCUGUGAAGAGCUUCUGCCACAGCUUAUACCACUGUCUGGUUGUUGGCAUGUGCACUUCCGGCCAUGGUUUUGCAAGGAGUUGAUAUCCUAAACAAGAAGGAUCUUUUCCUUGCUGUUCUCCAAAUGUGGUUUUUCAGUUCCAAACAGUAGAAGAAUGGAAUAUAAAAUGGCCAAAAAAGUAAUCCAGGGUUUGAACGUAAGCCUUGAGGUGGAAGGCUUAGAAAUUUCUGUCUUUUCAGUUUGUCAUUGGGAAGAAGAGCAAAAGUUGAUUUUAUUGUCCAGUGUAGGCUCCUAGAUGGAACAGGGAGGUUUGAGAAGCUUCAAAAGGUGUUAUGCUGAAAUUUUGCUGGAUUACGCUGGAUCUUGAAUUAAGAUGGAGUUUACAAUUACUGAAGCAAUUUAAGUGUUAAAAUUGACAGCAAAAGUGAUGGAUUUCUUUUUACUUGGAGAUGCUGAAAGAAGCUUUCUAGAAAAAAAAUUGAUCCACUUCUAGCGUGAGAUCCUGUAGGCCGUCUAUUCAAGAGAGAGCAGAUCCCACCUACCUGCCUGUGAAUUUACAUGUGGGAUAUCUCCAGUCAAAUGUUUUGUGCUUUAAACCAAAAGUGACAUACGUAGAGUCACGUUUUCUUGUGCCAGCUAAAUGGAAGUGAAAUGCUCUAUGUUCUGAAGCUGCACUGAAUCCUUCCCUUUAGAGAAACCCUUAGCUGAUCAAGGCUCAGGCAUCAGACCAUGCAUUUCCAGGAUUUGGGAAAGGCACUAGAGGGUGCUGUGCUGAAAGAGAAGAACUGGGAUCUGUAUCUGCAGGAGAAACCAUCCGGACCUCUGCAAGGAGGGGAUCAAUAGAUGCUGCUUUUCCUGAAUCUUACACGAAGUGACAUAAGGACUGUUGACAUCAGGGGACAAGGGGUGCAACCUGUGUAUAGAUCUAAACUUGAGGACAUUAAAAUUGUAGAAGAUUGGUUGAACAUUAUUAAA
Prinia subflava (tawny-flanked prinia) is the source of this 2039-nucleotide long non-coding RNA. RefSeq lists it as uncharacterized. The transcript is spliced from 2 exons. The record is from RefSeq and is a predicted model, not a curated record. Lineage: Eukaryota; Metazoa; Chordata; Aves; Passeriformes; Cisticolidae.